RNAcentral lists this ribosomal RNA (1504 nucleotides) under Vibrio sp. CLS1. RNAcentral describes it as "16S ribosomal RNA". It matches the Rfam family "Bacterial small subunit ribosomal RNA". The record is from RNAcentral. Lineage: Bacteria; Pseudomonadati; Pseudomonadota; Gammaproteobacteria; Vibrionales; Vibrionaceae.
UGCAGCUUACCAUGCAGUCGAAGCGGUACAGAGAGUAGCUAGCUACUUUGCUGACGAGCGGCGGACGGGUGAGUAAUGCUUGGGAACAUGCCUUUAGGUGGGGGACAACAGUUGGAAACGACUGCUAAUACCGCAUAAUGUCUACGGACCAAAGGGGGCUUCGGCUCUCGCCUAAAGAUUGGCCCAAGUGGGAUUAGCUAGUUGGUGAGGUAAUGGCUCACCAAGGCAACGAUCCCUAGCUGGUUUGAAGAAGAUGAUCCGCCACAAAUGGGAACCUUAGAAACGCUGCAGAGACUUCUAUCGGGAGCGAGCACAUGUGGGAAUAUUGCGACAAUGGGGCGCGCAGCGCUUGAGUCACGCCCCUCCCGCGGGUGUGUGGGAAGAAAGCCCCUCUCGGUGUGUGAAAGCACUUUUCUGUGCCCGAAGGAAAGGGUAGAUAAUUAAAUAACCUGGCUAAGCUGGGGAGGGUUCUGGCAGAAAAAAAAAAACGGGCUUAUAUCCCUGGCGCACCAACCGCGGGGAAUAACGAAGGGGGGGGGACGGUAAACCGAAUUUAUUGGGGCGGAAAAACGUACACCCCGCGCGGUUUUUUAACGAAAAGUGAAAAACCCCCCGCUCCACCUGGGGAACUGGCAUUUUUUCACUGGGGAACUAAAAUGUGGUAGAAGGGGGGUGAAAUUUUUCGUGGUAGCGGGGGAAUGGCGUAUAAAACCUAAAAGAAUAACGGAUGCGGGAAGGCAGGCCACCGAGAUCAACACUGACGCUCAUGUACGAAAAGCGAUGGGGAAGCAAACAAGAAUUAAAAAACCUGGUAGUCCACGCCGUAAAACGAUGUCUAACAAAAAAGCUCGCAUCCUCCGCAGUUGUUGUGUUCAAAAGCUAACACAUUAAGUAAAACCGCCUUGGGGAGUACGGCCGCAAGGGUGUAAAACUCAAAUGACACUGACGGGGGGCCCGCACAAGCGGUGGAGCAUGUGGUUUUAAUUCGAUGCAACGCGAAGAACCUUACCUACACUUGACAUACAGAGAACUUACUAGAGAUAGUUUGGUGCCUUCGGGAGCUCUGAUACAGGUGCUGCAUGGCUGUCGUCAGCUCGUGUUGUGAGAUGUUGGGUUAAGUCCCGCAACGAGCGCAACCCCUAUCCUUAGUUGCUAGCAGGUAAUGCUGAGAACUCUAAGGAGACUGCCGGUGAUAAACCGGAGGAAGGUGGGGACGACGUCAAGUCAUCAUGGCCCUUACGUGUAGGGCUACACACGUGCUACAAUGGCGCAUACAGAGUGCUGCGAACUCGCGAGAGUAAGCGAAUCACUUAAAGUGCGUCGUAGUCCGGAUUGGAGUCUGCAACUCGACUCCAUGAAGUCGGAAUCGCUAGUAAUCGCGUAUCAGAAUGACGCGGUGAAUACGUUCCCGGGCCUUGUACACACCGCCCGUCACACCAUGGGAGUGGGUUGCUCCAGAAGUAGAUAGUCUAACCUUAGGGAGGACGUUACCACGGAUGGUGCG